RNAcentral lists this ribosomal RNA (250 nucleotides) under uncultured bacterium. RNAcentral describes it as "partial 16S ribosomal RNA". It matches the Rfam family "Bacterial small subunit ribosomal RNA", at positions 355 to 602 of the family's 1533-position model. The record is from RNAcentral.
UGAGGAAUAUUGCGCAAUGGAGGAAACUCUGACGCAGCCAUGCCGCGUGCAGGAAGACGGCCCUACGGGUUGUAAACUGCUUUUAUCAGGGAAGAAACCCCGGGACGUGUCCCGGGUUGACGGUACCUGAGGAAUAAGCACCGGCUAACUCCGUGCCAGCAGCCGCGGUAAUACGGAGGGUGCAAGCGUUAUCCGGAUUCAUUGGGUUUAAAGGGUGCGUAGGCGGGGUGGUAAGUCAGUGGUGAAAUCC